AAAAUCCAUACGCAAAAACCUGUCUCCCCAAAGAAGACCUAGUAUUUGUUAAAUUCCCACACAACACCAGUAAGAAAUGCAGUUUUCUAACUUUCUUAGACCUGUACAUUGUCCUUCUUUUGUUAAUAACUUAUCCUCUUGUUUGUUUUGUCUUCAUUAGCUUCCUCUUCCACAGUAGACAAAAUCACCACCUGUAGCAAAAGAUGAAUGCAGCCAUUUCAGUUGUUCAGAGGACAUAUGGGCAAUGUUGCAUAUAAGACACAGAAGAGCACACAUUCAGUGAGGAUUGUCCUGUUAGACAACGGUUACUGCACAGGUAUCAAGACCAAGGCUGUGAGACACAGACUGCAGCCCCAUGCUGCAGAAAGAGGAAAAGGAUCACUAAGAGUAACUGAGGUGGUACAGAGCUGAACAACAUUAUUUUUGUGGGACAGAGAUAAGCAGCAGGCUGAAUGGUGGUGACAAAAUGACGGGAAGGGCUGCUAAUUGUGGGGCCUUAGAUUACAGCCUACCAGAAAACAAAAACAAAAAUGCAAGAACAAAACCUGUUAAUUAUGGAAGCUAAACACAGUUUUCAUCCCUGCAACCAUGUUCUUGGCACAGGUUUACAGAGACCACAAAGGCCCUUAAAUGCACAUUGAUCUCAAGCUGAUCUGGUCUGUAUUCACCACCUCACAUCAGUUUGUGAACCAUGCAGGGAAUAUACUCAGGAAUGAGUUUCAAGUCUUCUAUAAGGCUAUAGUGGAAAGUGCUUUUGAUGUAAUAAUACAGAGCUAAACAUUAAAAAGAAUGCAAAAAACCAGGAGGCUCACACAACCAUUUUACAAAUAUGUCCUUUUUUAUCUAUGUCUCAGGGGAUCUGAUAGAAAGCAUGUCAUGACAUGCUAUACUAUUGAGCUAUAGAAAGAUGUCAUGAAGCCAGAAUAUACCAAUGGUACAGUGAAGAUCUACUGGAAUGUGUCCCUCCUCAUAGCAGGGACCUCUAGUUGUAACUAGAUUAUCUUUAAGGUCCCUCCCAAACAAAACCGUUUUAUGAUUCUAUGAUUCUGUAAUUCUGUGAUAAGAUAAUGCACCUAUGGAAGAAUAAGCUUUUAAGGAAUCAUUUAAAUACGAUGAAGGUAGUAUACAGGAAAGUAGUGUAAGUAAUCAGAAUUCUAGAAAAUGAAAGUGGAAGAGUUGAAUGAAUUGCUGUGGUUUAGCUCUGAGAAAACAUGACUCUAUUGUUUAAUAAAAUUUGCUGUAAAUAAAAAUGUAGUGAUGAG
Molecule: long non-coding RNA, 1262 nt
Filed under: Anser cygnoides (Swan goose)
Lineage: Eukaryota; Metazoa; Chordata; Aves; Anseriformes; Anatidae
Description: lncRNA (ENSACDG00005014169.1)
Source: RNAcentral